GGCAUGCAAGUCGAACGGAUGACAGAGAGCUUGCUCUCUGAAGUCAGUGGCGCACGAGUGAGUAACGCGUGGGAAACUGCCCUUCACUGGGGAAUAACGUUUGGAAACGAACGCUAAUACCGCAUACGCCCGCAAGGGGAAAGAUUUAUCGGUGAUGGAUGUGCCCGCGUUGGAUUAGCUAGUUGGUGGGGUAAUGGCCUACCAAGGCGAUGAUCCAUAGCUGGUCUGAGAGGACGAUCAGCCACGCUGGAACUGAGACACGGUCCAGACUCCUACGGGAGGCAGCAGCUAAGAAUAUUGGGCAAUGGAAGGAAACUCUGACCCAGCCCAUGCCGCGUGAAUGAAGAAGGUCCUUCGGGUUGUAAAGUUCUUUUAGUCAUGAAGAUGAUGACAGUAGUGACAGAAAAAGCACCGGCUAACUUCGUGCCAGCCGCCGC
Molecule: ribosomal RNA, 437 nt
Filed under: uncultured bacterium
Lineage: Bacteria
Description: bacterial SSU rRNA
Rfam family: Bacterial small subunit ribosomal RNA
Source: RNAcentral